Molecule: ribosomal RNA, 680 nt
Filed under: Prunus dulcis (almond)
Lineage: Eukaryota; Viridiplantae; Streptophyta; Magnoliopsida; Rosales; Rosaceae
Description: eukaryotic LSU rRNA
Rfam family: 5.8S ribosomal RNA (bases 256-411)
Source: RNAcentral
GGGAAGGAUCAUUGUCGAAACCUGCCUAGCAGAACGACCCGAGAACUAGUUUCAAAGCGGGGGCCGAGGGGUCCUGCGGCUCCUUGUCCCCUUUAUCUCGGGGGGGUUGCGUUGCGCUCGCGCGGCCGACCCUUCCGGGCGUACAAACGAACACCGGCGCGAAUUGCGCCAAGGAAAUUGAACGAGAGAGCGCGUCCCCGUCGCCCCGGAAACGGUGUGCGCGGGCGGCGUCGUCAUCUUCAAAUAUGUCAAAACGACUCUCGGCAACGGAUAUCUCGGCUCUCGCAUCGAUGAAGAACGUAGCGAAAUGCGAUACUUGGUGUGAAUUGCAGAAUCCCGUGAACCAUCGAGUCUUUGAACGCAAGUUGCGCCCGAAGCCAUUAGGCCGAGGGCACGCCUGCCUGGGCGUCACACGUCGUUGCCCCCCCAUCUACUCCUUCGGGAUUGCGGGGGGCGGAUGAUGGCCUCCCGUGCGCCUCGCCGCGCGGUUGGCAUAAAUACCAAGUCCUCGGCGACGCACGCCACGACAAUCGGUGGUUGCGAGACCUCGGUUGCCCGUCGUGUGCGUUCGUCGCGCAUCGAGGGCUCGAAAAAAUGCUCGGCUCCGGCUCGGCUUUCAACGCGACCCCAGGUCAGGCGGGGUUACCCGCUGAAUUUAAGCAUAUCAAUAAGCGGAGGAA